CGCUGGCGGCACGCCUAACACAUGCAAGUCGAACGCAGUAGCAAUACUGAGUGGCAAACGGGUGAGUAUAAUGUGGGAAUCUGCCUUUUGGUUUGGAAUAACACGGGGAAACUUGUGCUAAUACCGAAUAAGCCUUUACAGGGAAAGUUUUAACGCCGAAAGAUGAGCCCGCACUUGAUUAGCUAGUUGGUAAGGUAAAAGCUUACCAAGGCAAUGAUCAAUAGCUGUUCUUAGAGGAAGACCAGCCACAUUGGGACUGAGACACGGCCCAGACUCCUACGGGAGGCAGCAGUGGGGAAUCUUGCACAAUGGGGGAAACCCUGAUGCAGCGAUGCCGCGUGAGUGAAGAAGGCCUUUGGGUUGUAAAACUCUUUCGUCGGGGAAGAAAAUGACUGUACCCGAAUAAGAAGGUCCGGCUAACUUCGUGCCAGCAGCCGCGGUAAUACGAAGGGACCUAGCGUAGUUCGGAAUUACUGGGCUUAAAGAGCUCGUAGGUGGUUAAAAAAGUUGAUGGUGAAAUCCCAAGGCUCAACCUUGGAACUGCCAUCAAAACUUUUUAGCUAGAGUGUGAUAGAGGUAAGUGGAAUUUCUAGUGUAGAGGUGAAAUUCGUAGAUAUUAGAAAGAACAUCAAAUGCGAAGGCAACUUACUGGGUCACUACUGACACUGAGGAGCGAAAGCAUGGGUAGCGAAGAGGAUUAGAUACCCUCGUAGUCCAUGCCGUAAACGAUGUGUGCUAGACGUUGGAAAUAUAUUUUUCAGUGUCGCAGCGAAAGCAUUAAGCACACCGCCUGGGGAG
RNAcentral lists this ribosomal RNA (798 nucleotides) under uncultured Pelagibacteraceae bacterium. RNAcentral describes it as "bacterial SSU rRNA". It matches the Rfam family "Bacterial small subunit ribosomal RNA", at positions 34 to 880 of the family's 1533-position model. Lineage: Bacteria; Pseudomonadati; Pseudomonadota; Alphaproteobacteria; Candidatus Pelagibacterales; Candidatus Pelagibacteraceae. The record is from RNAcentral.